Brassica napus (rape) is the source of this 774-nucleotide long non-coding RNA. RefSeq lists it as uncharacterized. NCBI's taxonomy places the organism in Eukaryota, Viridiplantae, Streptophyta, Magnoliopsida, Brassicales, Brassicaceae. The record is from RefSeq and is a predicted model, not a curated record. The transcript has 5 exons.
ACGUGUCUAAUAAGAAAACUGCAGUGUUUCAUUAAACUUUAACAUUUUGGCCUCAUCUAACCCUACGGCUGCAAGCCUGCAACGAAGAACGUGGAAACGGCUGUGUUCAUAAGCAGAGGAGGAGAAGAGGCUUCGAUGGACGACAAAUCAGAUCUACUCCAUAUGCAGAUGGCUCAUCUGCCGCUGCGUCUCUGGCUUCGCCGCUGCGUCUCAGGUGAAUCUCACGAAAACUUAACCGAAGGCGUCAAUCUUAAACCCGUUUCCUUCAUGUCUCAGCUAAAUUAUAUUUGUGGGUAUUCUUUAUCGGAGAUGAAAUUCGUAUAUCUACUUCAGCUAAUUCUUUCAACGAACUCCCUCCAACGCCCAUGAUCAUCUCAAGGAUGGCUUUACUUUGGCUUGGAGAUACAAUACUGCCACUACGUUUUCAUCCGGCUGCGUCACUUACGGACCACACCUGUAGAGUUUUUUUUUAUAUGUUGGAGCUAGCAGACUCUUUUCUGGUUCCGUGGACAAUUCUAUAAAUUAUUUGUUUUCAAGAACAACCAGCUAGCUUUCGAGUCUGCUGCGACGGAUCUCCAUCAGCUGCAAACAACGUGUUCACCCUAAUCGCCGUUAUCAUAUUUUAUGGGUUCUUGAUCACUCCUUACCGCAGAUUCAUCACCGUCAAAGCUAUUUUUAUCAAUUUCACAGUGAGACGACUUCACCAGAAUGGAUUUGGCUUGGCGGAAGUUGCUUAUGUGAAAAGAAGUCUGCAUAUCAAGCUAUGAUGAAAUA